GAGACUAAAAUUCAGCAGCACAUAUACUAAAAUUAGAACAAUACAGAGAAGAUUAGCAUGGCCCCUGUGCAAGGAUGACACACAAAUGAUGCUUCUAGAAGUAAGCCUUC
Molecule: small nuclear RNA, 110 nt
Organism: Python bivittatus (Burmese python)
Lineage: Eukaryota; Metazoa; Chordata; Lepidosauria; Squamata; Pythonidae
Source: RefSeq, a predicted model, not a curated record